This 115-nucleotide non-coding RNA is filed under the name Noctiluca scintillans. The record is from RNAcentral. Lineage: Eukaryota; Dinophyceae; Noctilucales; Noctilucaceae.
UGGGCGACUCCCUGGCGGAAAAACUCCAGGCAUGCACCGCGAAACUGCACGCCAGGGAUGAGGCCAUCAGGCGGUUGAGACGGCAAUUAGACGCAAAGUCUCCGAAGAGGACGCG